AUUGAACGCUGGCGGCAGGCCUAACACAUGCAAGUCGAACGAGUGGCGGACGGGUGAGUAAUGUCUGGGAAACUGCCUGAUGGAGGGGGAUAACUACUGGAAACGGUAGCUAAUACCGCAUACCAUCGGAUGUGCCCAGAUGGGAUUAGCUUGGAGGUGGGGUAAAGGCUCACCUAGGCGACGAUCCCUAGCUGGUCUGAGAGGAUGCCAAGCCACACUGGAACUGAGACACGGUCCAGACUCCUACGGGAGGAAGCAGUGGGGAAGAUUGGACAAGGGGCGAAAGCCUGAUGCAGCCAUGCCGAGUGUAUGAAGAAGGUCUUCGGGUUGUAAAGUACUUUCAGCGGGGAGGCGUUACCCGCAGAAGAAGCACCGGAUAACUACGUGCCAGCAGCCGCGGUAAUAC
This 406-nucleotide ribosomal RNA is filed under the name uncultured bacterium. RNAcentral describes it as "partial 16S ribosomal RNA". It matches the Rfam family "Bacterial small subunit ribosomal RNA", at positions 30 to 526 of the family's 1533-position model. The record is from RNAcentral.